UUAAUUCAUCAUCUGUGGGUGCAUUAAGUAAACCACUUAAAUAGAGUUAUUGGAACUCUUUUUUGGAUUAUAGCCCCAGCACCAUACUGAAUAGAGCAAACAUUUUGGUUUGUGGAAAAUACAUUAUCUAAAAUAGUGGCUGUUAUUUGCACCUCUUCUAAUGUAAAGCUGACCUGCAUAUUACAACCACUACGUCCAAAUGAUGGUUUUUUUUUUUUUUUUUUUUUUUUUUGGACGGCUUUGGAGUAUAUAGACAAAACCAUUUGACUGACGGCGUUGUGAGGGAACGCAUCAUCCACCCCUGCAGCGGUCGGCCUUUGCUUCCAAAAAGUCUGGACCAGACUCGAGCAGGACUCUGAAGCGAGGAAAGGCGAACGUCGACUGACGGGUGUCCCUCCGUAACCGCCUACGGUCGUCGCGAUGCAGCUCAACCUUUGCAAAUUACCCCGCUUAUCACUUUCUCAGAAGCGCGAGGCAGCUUUCAAGAAGGAAGAAAUGAUGCCAUCACAGAGGAGCCCGUUUCAGUUUCGCUCCCGCUUCAACAUCGGCGUGCGAAGCGUGCGGCGAUUUGUGAAAUUUCAGUGAUGUUCAAUAGUUGUAAUCCUGAUUUCGUAGUGUGAGGAUCUCGUUUGUCUUUAAAAGAUUACGGCGAAUUUACAUUAAUGAAAUGAUGACGGAUUAAAUAAGACCGUGCUAUUUUGAACCGUAAAGAUGUAUGCUGCCGCGUUGAAUGAGGACCGCUGCCUGUGCAUCCGUCGCUGUAAAACACAUCUCCGGUAAUUUGACGUGACGGGGACAUCCGCCGCUGGAAGCGACAGUGUGGCACAGCAGGGCGAUAUCGACCGAGGUAACGUUGGGCCGCGAGUGCUUAAAAAUCAGGGCGGACGCUCUGAACGGUUUGCGCUCCUGGCACAUCGUGCAGUAUUAAGGGAGGAAUAGAAACAUUGACCGGUGUCCCGUCGGACGGCCGAGAGAAAGAGAGCGGUCAGCACGCCUGGAGAUCUUCCUGCCUUUUUAAUGGGGACAAAAGCCAGAGAUGAUGGAGAGCUACUGUUGUUGACGGGACUGGAGGCGGACGCUUCCGAAGAUCGCGUCGAGCGGAUCGGGCCUGGGAGCGAGGAGACGAGCCCGUGACUCGGAACGGAGGCGCAGGAGUAAAACGCAUUCGGGGAUCAACAGGAACCCGAAAGGGUAGUUUCACGUUUUUCUCCCCGCAGCGAUAAGCAGAGCGGUGCGCCUCGUGCCUAAUGUGUAAUACAAGAGAAGCAGCCAGCCAGCAUUUUAACGCAAACUAAUCAUCUGUAUUUUUUUUUUUCCUAAUUGAACCAAACGCAUGCCACGUUAUCGCAUUGAAGUCAAGGCCUCUAUUUGUUGAGCGUAACUCUUCGUACGCAACCGAAAAGCUAGACGUCGGCGUCUCUCCGUGCGUAAACUGACUUUCUCACCGUUUCGGGACGGUUCUUUCUCUGUCCGCGUAUGUUCGGCAGGAAGCGGCUCUACGAAGGACUUCUUCGUGGCGUUUUUAGACGGGAGGAGGAAGCGCUAAAGACCCGAGGAGGCGACCGCGGAGCCCCGCCCUCCUAUG
Long non-coding RNA from Scleropages formosus (Asian bonytongue), 1585 nucleotides. The record is from Ensembl. Lineage: Eukaryota; Metazoa; Chordata; Actinopteri; Osteoglossiformes; Osteoglossidae.